This 535-nucleotide small RNA is filed under the name Arabidopsis thaliana (thale cress). RNAcentral's name for it is "ATSL204460". Lineage: Eukaryota; Viridiplantae; Streptophyta; Magnoliopsida; Brassicales; Brassicaceae. The record is from RNAcentral.
UGACUCUUUAUCUUUGUAUCUUCUAACAAGGAAACACUACUGAGGCCUUUAGGAUAAGGUUGAGGUUUAAGUUCUUAUACUCAAUCAAACACAUGACAUACAGUCAUAUUCGACUCCAAAACAAUAACCAAGCCUCUUCUUGCUUCUAAAAGCUUUGAUGGUUUAGCCAAAGUCCAUAUGAGUCUUUGUCUUUGUAUCUUCUAACAAGGAAACAUUACUUACGCUUUUAGGAUAAUGUUGCGGUUUAAGUUCUUAUACUCAAUCAUACACAUGACAUCAAGUCAUAUUCGACUCCAAAACACUAACCAAGCUUCUUCUUGCUUCUCAAAGCUUUGAUGGUUUAGCCGAAGUCCGUAUGAGUCUUUGUCUUUGUAUCUUCUAACAAGGAAACACUACUUAGGCUUUUAGGAUAAGAUUGCAGUUUAAGUUCUUUUACUCAAUCAUACACAUGACAUCAAGUUAUAUUCGACUCCAAAACACUAACCAAGCUUCUUCUUGCUUCUCAAAGCUUUGAUGGUUUGCCAAAACUCCAUAU